GACGAACGCUGGCGGCGUGCUUAACACAUGCAAGUCGAACGGAACGGCCCUGCUCUUGUGGGGUGCUCGAGUGGCGAACGGGUGAGUAACACGUGAGUAACCUGCCCUUGACUUUGGGAUAACUUCCGGAAACUGGGGCUAAUACCGGAUAUGAGCUCCUGCUGCAUGGUGGGGGUUGGAAAGGUUCGGCGGUUGGGGAUGGACUCGCGGCUUAUCAGCUUGUUGGUGGGGUAGUGGCUUACCAAGGCUUUGACGGGUAGCCGGCCUGAGAGGGUGACCGGCCACAUUGGGACUGAGAUGCGGCCCAGACUCCUACGGGAGGCAGCAGUGGGGAAUAUUGCACGAUGGGCGGAAGCCUGAUGCAGCAACGCCGCGUGCGGGAUGACGGCCUUCGGGUUGUAAACCGCUUUCGCCUGUGACGAAGCGUGAGUGACGGUAAUGGGUAAAGAAGCACCGGCUAACUACGUG
RNAcentral lists this ribosomal RNA (468 nucleotides) under uncultured bacterium. RNAcentral's name for it is "partial 16S ribosomal RNA". It matches the Rfam family "Bacterial small subunit ribosomal RNA", at positions 28 to 507 of the family's 1533-position model. The record is from RNAcentral.